Molecule: ribosomal RNA, 2910 nt
Filed under: Eubacteriales bacterium OttesenSCG-928-A19
Lineage: Bacteria; Bacillati; Bacillota; Clostridia; Eubacteriales
Description: 23S ribosomal RNA
Rfam family: Bacterial large subunit ribosomal RNA
Source: RNAcentral
GAUCAAGCGAAUAAGAGCACAGGGUGGAUGCCAAGGCGCCAACUGCCGAAGAAGGACGCGGUAAGCUGCGAAAAGCCACGGGGAGCCGCAAGCAGGCUUUGAUCCGUGGAUGUCCGAAUGGGGAAACCCGGCGGGAGUAAUGCCCCGUCACCCAUGGAUGAAUCCAUAGUCCAUGAGGAGGGCACCCGGGGAACUGAAACAUCUAAGUACCCGGAGGAAAAGAAAGUAAAUAACGAUUCCCUAAGUAGUGGCGAGCGAACAGGGAUUAGCCCAAACCAACUUUCUACGGAAGGUUGGGGUUGUGGACCAGCAACAUGUAUCGUAAAGGCUAGGAGAAGAGAGCUGGAAAGCUCUACCGGAGAGGGUAACAGUCCCGUAUCUGAAAGUCUGAGCGAGCUAGCUGGCACCAGAGUACCGCAGGACACGUGAAAUCCGGCGGGAAGCUGGGAGGACCACCUCCCAAGGCUAAAAACGGUUGGCGACCGAUAGCGCAUAGUACCGUGAGGGAAAGGUGAAAAGAACCCCGGGAGGGGAGUGAAAGAGAACCUGAAACCCUGUGUUUACAAGCAGAGAGAGCACGUGAAAGGUGCAAUCUCGUACUUUUUGUAGAACGGACCGGCGAGUUACGGUAGGCAGCAAGGUUAAGGACGGGAAGUCCGGAGCCGAAGCGAAAGCGAGUCUGAAGAGGGCGUCGAGUUGCUUGCCGUAGACCCGAAACCAGGCGACCUAUCCAUGAGCAGGUUGAAGUGAGAGUAAAAUCUCAUGGAGGACCGAACCAGACGUCUGUUGAAAAAGGCGGGGAUGACUUGUGGAUAGCGGAGAAAUUCCAAUCGAGCCUGGAUAUAGCUGGUUCUCCUCGAAAUAGCUUUAGGGCUAGCCUCGUACGAGAGCAUUGGAGGUAGAGCACUGAAUGACCUAGGGGGCCUCAAAGCUUACCGAAGUCUAUCAAACUCCGAAUGCCAAUUGUUUGAUGUACGGGAGUCAGUCCGUGGGAGAUAAGUUUCACGGGCAAAAGGGAAACACCCCAGACCGCCCGCUAAGGUCCCUAAGUUCAGGUUAAGUGGAGAAGGAUGUGCAAUUGCUCAGACAACCAGGAUGUUGGCUCAGAAGCAGCCACUCAUUCAAAGAGUGCGUAAUAGCUCACUGGUCAAGUGAUUGUGCGCCGAAGAUGUACCGGGGCUAAACCUGACACCGAAGCGACGGGUUCGUUGGCAUUUAUGUCAAUGAGCGGUAGAGGAGCAUUGUGUACGGGCUGAAGCAGAAUCGAGAGGCUCUGUGGACUGUACAGAAGAGAGAAUGCCGGUAUGAGUAGCGAGAGCCAUGCGAGAAACAUGGCCGUCGAAAGCCCAAGGUUUCCUGGGGAAGGUUCAUCCACCCAGGGUAAGUCGGGACCUAAGCCGAGGACAAGAGUCGUAGGCGAUGGACAGCAGGUGGAAAUUCCUGCACCGCCGAGGAAUGACGCAGUGACACAGAAGGAUAGCCUGAGCGGGGUGUUGGUCAACUCCGUACAAGCACUUAGGCUGGGAUGUAGUGAAGUACGCAUCCCAUUAAGGCUGAGGUGUGAUGUGGACCGAAAACAAGUAGGGAAGCAGGCGAGUUCACGCUGGCGAGAAAAGCUGCUAGUAUAUCCGAAGGCGCCCGUACCGGAAUCCGACACAGGUGGGCGAGGAGAGAAUCCUGAGACGAACGGGAGAACCCUUGUUAAGGAACUCGGCAAAAUAGCCCCGUAACUUCGGGAGAAGGGGUGCCACGAAAGUGGCCGCAGUGAAUAGGCCCAAGCGACUGUUUAUCAAAAACACAGGUAUCUGCGAAAGCGAGAGCUGACGUAUAGGUGCUGACGCCUGCCCGGUGCCGGAAGGUUAAGGGGAACUGUCAGGGCAACCGAAGCAGUGAACUGAAGCCCCGGUAAACGGCGGCCGUAACUAUAACGGUCCUAAGGUAGCGAAAUUCCUUGUCGGGUAAGUUCCGACCCGCACGAAUGGCGUAACGACUUGGGCGCUGUCUCAACAAGGGACCCGGUGAAAUUGAAGUAUGUGUGAAGAUGCACAUUACCCGCGACUGGACGGAAAGACCCCGUAGAGCUUUACUGCAGCUUGGCAUUGGAUUUUGGUAAUGGAUGUACAGGAUAGGUGGGAGACUGGGAAGCAAGGACGUCAGUUUUUGUGGAGUCAACGUUGGGAUACCACUCUUCUGUUGCUGGAAUUCUAACAUAGCGCCGUGAAACCGGCGGAUGGACAGUACCAGGUGGGCAGUUUGACUGGGGCGGUCGCCUCCGAAAGAGUAACGGAGGCGCCCAAAGGUACCCUCAGAAUGGAUGGAAAUCAUUCGUAGAGUGCAAAGGCAGAAGGGUGCCUGACUGCGAGACCGACGGGUCGAGCAGGGACGAAAGUCGGGCUUAGUGAUCCGGCGGCAUUGAGUGGAAGAGCCGUCGCUCAACGGAUAAAAGCUACCUCGGGGAUAACAGGCUGAUCUCCCCCAAGAGUCCACAUCGACGGGGAGGUUUGGCACCUCGAUGUCGGCUCGUCGCAUCCUGGGGCUGAAGCAGGUCCCAAGGGUUUGGCUGUUCGCCAAUUAAAGCGGCACGCGAGCUGGGUUCAGAACGUCGUGAGACAGUUCGGUCCCUAUCCAUCGUGGGCGUUGGAAUCAUGAGAGGAGCUGUCCCUAGUACGAGAGGACCGGGAUGGACGUAUCACUGGUGCAACUGUUGUCGUGCCAACGGCAUAGCAGGGAAGCGAAAUACGGACGGGAUAAACGCUGAAGGCAUCUAAGCGUGAAGCCCCCCUCAAGAAGAAGAUUCCCAUUCCUUUAAGGAAGUAAGACCCCUCAAAGACGAUGAGGUUGAUAGGUCAUCGCUGGAAGUGCAGCAAUGUAUUGAGGUUGAUGAUACUAAUCGGUCGAGGGCUUGAUCUG